This 253-nucleotide ribosomal RNA is filed under the name uncultured bacterium. RNAcentral describes it as "partial 16S ribosomal RNA". It matches the Rfam family "Bacterial small subunit ribosomal RNA", at positions 524 to 776 of the family's 1533-position model. The record is from RNAcentral.
UACGUAGGGCGCAAGCGUUAUCCGGAAUUAUUGGGCGUAAAGAGCUCGUAGGCGGUUUGUCGCGUCUGCUGUGAAAGACCGGGGCUCAACUCCGGUUCUGCAGUGGGUACGGGCAGACUAGAGUGAUGUAGGGGAGACUGGAAUUCCUGGUGUAGCGGUGAAAUGCGCAGAUAUCAGGAGGAACGCCGAUGGCGAAGGCAGGUCUCUGGGCAUUAACUGACGCUGAGGAGCGAAAGCAUGGGGAGCGAACAGG